RNAcentral lists this ribosomal RNA (253 nucleotides) under uncultured bacterium. RNAcentral describes it as "partial 16S ribosomal RNA". It matches the Rfam family "Bacterial small subunit ribosomal RNA", at positions 524 to 776 of the family's 1533-position model. The record is from RNAcentral.
UACGUAGGGUGCGAGCGUUGUCCGGAAUUAUUGGGCGUAAAGAGCUUGUAGGCGGUUUGUCGCGUCUGCCGUGAAAAUCCGGGGCUCAACCCCGGACUUGCGGUGGGUACGGGCAGACUAGAGUGUGGUAGGGGAGACUGGAAUUCCUGGUGUAGCGGUGAAAUGCGCAGAUAUCAGGAAGAACACCGAUGGCGAAGGCAGGUCUCUGGGCCACUACUGACGCUGAGAAGCGAAAGCGUGGGGAGCGAACAGG